UUUCCGUAGGUGAACCUGCGGAAGGACCAUUAAAGAGUAAGGGUCCUCUAGGCCCGACCUCCCAACCCUUUGUUUACCAAACCAAUGUUGCUUCGGCGGGCCCGUCUUAGGACCGCCGGAGGACCGUCGAAACGUCCUCUGGCCCGCGCCCGUCGAUGGCCCUUAUUAUUAAACUCUGAACCAAACGUGUCCUGUCUGAGUGAUUAUUAUCAAAAUUAGAGCAAAAACUUUCAACAACGGAUCUCUUGGUUCUG
Molecule: unclassified non-coding RNA, 254 nt
Filed under: plant metagenome
Description: partial contains small subunit ribosomal RNA, internal transcribed spacer 1, and 5.8S ribosomal RNA
Source: RNAcentral